RNAcentral lists this ribosomal RNA (492 nucleotides) under uncultured bacterium. RNAcentral describes it as "partial 16S ribosomal RNA". It matches the Rfam family "Bacterial small subunit ribosomal RNA", at positions 29 to 507 of the family's 1533-position model. The record is from RNAcentral.
AGUGAACGCUGGCGGUAGGCCUAACACAUGCAAGUCGAACGGCAGCACAGUAAGAGCUUGCCCUUACGGGUGGCGAGUGGCGGACGGGUGAGGAAUACAUCGGAAUCUACUUUUUCGUGGGGGAUAACGUAGGGAAACUUACGCUAAUACCGCAUACGACCUACGGGUGAAAGCAGGGGAUCUUCGGACCUUGCGCGAUUGAAUGAGCCGAUGUCGGAUUAGCUAGUUGGCGGGGUAAAGGCCCACCAAGGCGACGAUCCGUAGCUGGUCUGAGAGGAUGAUCAGCCACACUGGAACUGAGACACGGCCCAGACUCCUACGGGAGGCAGCAGUGGGGAAUAUUGGACAAUGGGCGCAAGCCUGAUCCAGCCAUACCGCGUGGGUGAAGAAGGCCUUCGGGUUGUAAAGCCCUUUUGUUGGGAAAGAAAAGCAGCAGGUUAAUACCCCGCUGUUCUGACGGUACCCAAAGAAUAAGCACCGGCUAACUUCGUG